GACGAACGCUGGCGGCGUGCUUAACACAUGCAAGUCGAACGGAAAGGCCCUGCUUUUGUGGGGUGCUCGAGUGGCGAACGGGUGAGUAACACGUGAGUAACCUGCCCUUGACUUUGGGAUAACUUCAGGAAACUGGGGCUAAUACCGGAUAGGAGCUCCUGCUGCAUGGUGGGGGUUGGACAGUUUCGGCGGUUGGGGAUGGACUCGCGGCUUAUCAGCUUGUUGGUGGGGUAGUGGCUUACCAAGGCUUUGACGGGUAGCCGGCCUGAGAGGGUUACCGGCCACAUUGGGACUGAGAUACGGCCCAGACUCCUACGGGAGGCAGCAGUGGGGAAUAUUGCACAAUGGGCGGAAGCCUGAUGCAGCAACGCCGCGUGCGGGAUGAAGGCCUUCGGGUUGUAAACCGCUUUCGCCUGUGACGAAGCGUGAGUGACGGUAAUGGGUAAAGAAGCACCGGCUAACUACGUG
RNAcentral lists this ribosomal RNA (468 nucleotides) under uncultured bacterium. Its description in RNAcentral is "partial 16S ribosomal RNA". It matches the Rfam family "Bacterial small subunit ribosomal RNA", at positions 28 to 507 of the family's 1533-position model. The record is from RNAcentral.